Molecule: ribosomal RNA, 2176 nt
Filed under: Triticum aestivum (bread wheat)
Lineage: Eukaryota; Viridiplantae; Streptophyta; Magnoliopsida; Poales; Poaceae
Description: partial small subunit ribosomal RNA
Source: RNAcentral
GGUAGGAGUAGCUCAAAAAUCUGUGAAUUCGUUUCUUCUGUCCCUCUCUUGUGAUCUUCUCCGUCUGUAGCGCUGGAGUGAGCUCGUGAUGUCUCCAUUUUAGGACGGAGGAGUGUGCAAGUGUGCUUCUUCUUCUUAGUAUUAUUAUCAUUUCUUUUCUGUUUGCACCCCAGAUAUUUCCUUUUGCUGCAACUGUUGAGCUCCAAAUCUGCCGUGGUUCAUUUCGUCUUUGAUUCCGGAGGGAGAAGGGGAUCUGCCAUUUCUGUGCUCGGUUCACCAAUUUCUUGCUCAAACUACUCCUCUUGAGAUUUUACCGUUCCCCUUUUCAGUUUCUUGGAGCUUCCUAAUCCCUAGUCCUAACUUCGCUUGAGCGCUCGUGAGCUCUUAGUUAGCGGUGUGAAAAUCGCGGCGUCGAGUGUUCUCGUGCAAGAAUCGGUUGCUGCUGCUGCUAGCCAUGGAGGUGAGGUCCGAGCAAGGCUAAUGGCGGGAAGGGAUCUGUUCGGCUUGCCCAAGAGCCAGCCGGCGCCGGCGCCAGCAGCUCCGGCAGCGCCGCCGUCCUCGGCAGCCAUGCAGAGCGUGCGCAUGGCGUACACCGCGGACGGCACACCCGUGUUUGCCCCGGUGAGCUCUGCGGUCGCGCCGCCGGGUUACCAACCGGCAGGGUCUGCAGCACCAGCGCAUGGCUCUAGCAUGUCCGCUGCUCGGGCCGCCGGAGGAAAUGGCGUCGCUGCGCCGCCGGGCAUGGGUGAACCGUCGGCGAAGAAGAAGCGCGGGCGGCCAAGGAAGUACGGGCCCGACGCGGCCAUGUCUCUGGCACUGGUGACUGUGCCGACGGCUGCAGGCUCGACAGGUGUGACACAGGGUGCUUCUGGGCGGCCGUUCUCACCCACGCUGCCGGGAAACUUCGUGCCGUCGGCGUCGCCGGAUGGAGGGAAGAAACGCGGCCGGCCCAAGGGAUCUACCAACAAGCCCCGCGUGGAUGGUGCCGGGCCGGCAGGAGUUGGAUUCACACCUCAUGUUCUUACAGUUCAAGCUGGGGAGGAUGUAUCGUCAAAGAUUAUGUCAUUUUCUCAGAAUGGAACUCGUGCAGUUUGUGUUCUCUCAGCAAAUGGUUCCAUAUCAAAUGUAACACUUCGUCAAACUGGUACAUCAGGUGGAACUGUAACAUAUGAGGGCCGAUUUGAGAUACUGUCACUCUCCGGGUCGAUCUUUGUAACGGACAACGGAGGCCAGCGUACCCGAACAGGGGGCCUCAGCGUUUCGUUGGCUGGUCCUGACGGUCGUCUCUUGGGUGGAGGGGUCGCAGGACUUCUCAUAGCAGCUUCUCCAAUCCAGAUAGUAGUGGGAAGCUUCAAUGCUGGUGGGAAAAAAGAGCCGAAGCCACAGGCUCCUCCUGAGCCCGUACCACUGAAGGUCGUUCCAAGCACUGGGAUGGCGGCCAACAGCCCCCCUUCAAGAGGCACAUUGAGCGAAUCGUCUGGUGGCACCGCAAGCCCAAGACAUCAAGGCUACGCCUCCAACAACAAUAACCAGCCGCCGAUCUUGUCCAGCAUGCCCUGGAAAUAAACUCAGCAUCCUUGACCGAAUUCGGACAUCGAUAGACUGUUGGUGAACUGCCUCCCUGGCAGGAAGUAGAAAUGUCACUUCUGUCUAACUAGCUCCCAUUUAGUCGUAUAAAUCAGAAGUUUAAUUAGGGAGCAUUGUAGCUGGUAUAAGUGGUAACUGCAGCUGCUGUGUAGGUCGUCUCAGCUUGAAUUUCUGUGCCACUUAGUUGUUUAUUGUUGUCUUGAGAUGAUGUAUUUAGGUAUGAUCUUGUGACCCUAUGAGGCGCUAUGGAAUAAUCAUGUUCUUAUGUUCAGUCAAUUUAUGUAAUUUUCAUGUAUGUCCUGCAAAAAUUGUUUUGCCGGCUCACUUACCUGAUUUGUUCAAUGCCCCAAAAGCGAUACAAGAAUUUGACCAAGACGCAAGACAAAACUUGUGCCAAAACAUAAGGUUACAAGCAUAUAUAAGAUCAACACAGCAAUUGGCAUUCUGUGGAACAAACGUUCUUUACAGCAGUAUGCUACGUAUAACCAUUGGCUUCGGCGGGAGGCCACUAUAUUGCAACUCCAAACAUUCUUUACAGCAGUAUUCUAACCAUUGGCUUCGGCAGCCACUAUAUUGCAGUUCCAGUUAG